RNAcentral lists this transfer RNA (71 nucleotides) under Bacillus sonorensis. Its description in RNAcentral is "tRNA-Met". It matches the Rfam family "tRNA". From Rfam's summary of the family: Transfer RNA (tRNA) molecules are approximately 80 nucleotides in length. Lineage: Bacteria; Bacillati; Bacillota; Bacilli; Caryophanales; Bacillaceae. The record is from RNAcentral.
GCACCCGUAGCUCGAAGGUCGAGCAGGUGGCUCAUAACCGCUCGGUUCUGGUUCGAUUCCAGACGGGUGCA